RNAcentral lists this ribosomal RNA (1661 nucleotides) under Steinernema carpocapsae. Its description in RNAcentral is "eukaryotic LSU rRNA". It matches the Rfam family "Eukaryotic large subunit ribosomal RNA", at positions 1305 to 2875 of the family's 3401-position model. Lineage: Eukaryota; Metazoa; Nematoda; Chromadorea; Rhabditida; Steinernematidae. The record is from RNAcentral.
ACUAGCCCUGAAAAUGGAUGGCGCUUGAGCGGGAGACCUAUACUCUGCCGUUAGUCGCAAAGCUUUAGGGCGGUGCUAACGAGUAAGAGGACGUCGCGAUUCUGCUUUGAAGGUUUGGGCGUGAGCCUGACUGGAGCAGUCGUGAGUGCAGAUCUUGGUAGUAGUAGCAAAUAUUUAAGUGAGAUCCUUAAAGACUGAAGUGGAGAAGGGUUUUGCGUGAACAGUAGUUGAACGCAAGUUAGUCGAUCCUAAGACAAUGGCUAAUGCCGUGUUUGCUCAAAAGGAGCGUUUCGUCUUUGCUUUUCGGAGUGAGGAUUUAACGAAGCGUUCAUCUGUCGAAAGGGAAGCAGGUUAAUAUUCCGGCACCAGGUUACGGAGAUUGCGUCUUGCUUUCGGGCUUGGCGUUUUAGCGCGGUAACGCAAACGAACUCGAUAACGUUGCACGUGACCUGAGCUAGAGUUUUCUUCUCUAGUUGAAAAGUCUGACUCCUGGAAUUGAUUCGGUUGGAGAUAGGAGUAAUUGACUUUGCACAAGCAGCGCGGGUACUGUGUUGUCUCAUGCGUUGCGUGCGAUACGUGAAAAAUCGAGGGAGGCUAUUUGAAUUUCGUGCCUGAUCGUACCCAUAUCCGCAGCAGGUCUCCAAGGUGUGCAGCCUCUAGUCGAUAGAAUAAUGUAGGUAAGGGAAGUCGGCAAAUUAGAUCCGUAACUUUGGGAAAAGGAUUGGCUCUAAGGAUUGGUCGUUUCGGGGUUCGACACGAAGCCGGGCGAUUCUGCUGAAUGUGCGUGCUGCUUCGGUGGUGCGUGCGUUUUGGCUAGUGAUUGCUUGGUGGACUGUCGGAUCUGUGCGUCUUGUUUUCGGACUUGGCGUUUUACGAGCGGCUUUUGGCAAUCGUCUUAGAACUGGAACGGACUCGGGGAAUCCGACUGUCUAAUUAAAACAGAGGAGACAGAUGGUGCUUGAUGCGUGUUAACUGUCUCUGAUUUCUGCCCAGUGCUCUGAAUGUCAAAGUGAGGUAACUCGACCAAGCGCGGGUAAACGGCGGGAGUAACUAUGACUCUCUUAAGGUAGCCAAAUGCCUCGUCCUCUAAUUAGGGACGCGCAUGAAUGGAUUAACGAGAUUCCCACUGUCCCUAUCUACUAUCUAGCGAAACUACAGCCAAGGGAACGGGCUUGGCGAAAACAGCGGGGAAAGAAGACCCUGUUGAGCUUGACUCUAGUUCGACUCUGUGAUGAGUCUUGAGAGGUGUAGCAUAAGUGGGAGAUCUUCGGAUCGCAAGUGAAAUACCACUACUUUCAACGAUUUUUUACUUACUCGAUUAGACGACGCCUUUAUGUGUUUUGGGUUUAAACGUUGGCACUUGGUGCUAGCGUGAGUCGCGUCGAGAAAAAAGUCAGACGGGGAGUUUGACUGGGGCGGUACAUCUAUCAAAUCGUAACGUAGGUGUCCUAAGGCUGGCUCAGAGAGGUUGGAAACCUUUCGUAGAGUAAAAGGGCAAAAGCGAGCUUGAUCUAGAUUUUCAGUACGAAUACAGACCGUGAAAGCGUGGCCUAUCGAUCCUUUUGAUUUGAAAAGUUUUCAGUAAGAGGUGUCAGAAAAGUUACCACAGGGAUAACUGGCUUGUGGCAGCCAAGCGUCCAUAGCGACGUUGCUUUUUGAUC